GUUCUCUCGGUGGUAGAGGCAAGGCCCUUUGCCUCAGUUUUACCAGUGUGGGUAGCCGUGGGAGACAUUCUCCAUACGCCUGUGAGAAGCAGAAGUGGAGCAGAAAGGGUCUGGGAAUGCAGACAUGGGUCCUGGGUUCCCGGAGUGAGGGCAUGAGGCAGGGGAGUUGUUUGCUUCCACGGAGCCCUGUCCUGGGCAGAAAAAAAGUCAUCGCUAAGCUCCUGCUCUGGGUGAUGUUUCCCCUGACAGCUCCGUUCUCCUCACCUGUCUAAACUAAGUAAAGAGGAUCCAAUAUCCACCUCGUGCUGAUCUUUUCAGCAGAUAC
Mastomys coucha (southern multimammate mouse) is the source of this 325-nucleotide long non-coding RNA. RefSeq lists it as uncharacterized. The record is from RefSeq and is a predicted model, not a curated record. The transcript has 2 exons. Lineage: Eukaryota; Metazoa; Chordata; Mammalia; Rodentia; Muridae.